This 201-nucleotide ribosomal RNA is filed under the name uncultured bacterium. Its description in RNAcentral is "partial 16S ribosomal RNA". It matches the Rfam family "Bacterial small subunit ribosomal RNA", at positions 1300 to 1500 of the family's 1533-position model. The record is from RNAcentral.
GUAGUCUGCAACCCGACUACAUGAAGCCGGAAUCGCUAGUAAUCGCGAAUCAGAAUGUCGCGGUGAAUACGUUCCCGGGUCUUGUACACACCGCCCGUCACACCAUGGGAGUCGGAAAUGCCCGAAGUCAGUGACCCAACCGUAAGGAGGGAGCUGCCGAAGGUGGAGCCGGUAACUGGGGUGAAGUCGUAACAAGGUACC